RNAcentral lists this ribosomal RNA (403 nucleotides) under Verrucomicrobiota bacterium. Its description in RNAcentral is "Verrucomicrobia bacterium partial 16S ribosomal RNA". It matches the Rfam family "Bacterial small subunit ribosomal RNA", at positions 355 to 776 of the family's 1533-position model. Lineage: Bacteria; Pseudomonadati; Verrucomicrobiota. The record is from RNAcentral.
UGGGGAAUCUUGCACAAUGGGGGCAACCCUGAUGCAGCGACGCCGCGUGAGCGAUGAAGGUUUUCGAAUCGUAAAGCUCUGUCCUAUGGGAAGAUAAUGACGGUACCAUAGGAGGAAGCCCCGGCUAACUACGUGCCAGCAGCCGCGGUAAUACGUAGGGGGCGAGCGUUGUCCGGAAUUACUGGGCGUAAAGGGUUCGCAGGCGGCAUGGCAAGUCCGAUGUAAAAGGCGAAGGCUCAACCUUCGUGAGCAUCGGAAACUGUCAAGCUUGAGUGGAGGGGAGGGGAGUGGAAUUCCUAGUGUAGCGGUGGAAUGCGGAGAUAUUAGGAGGAAUACCGGUGGCGAAGGCGACUUGCUGGACUUCAACUGACGCUGAGGAGCGAAAGCGGGGGUAGCAAACAGG